CAAACUUCUCAGCUUUCAGCAUGCUGCAGAAAAGCCCCAGAGCUGCUCUCAACUCCAAGCAAUGGUGAGCAUUACAGGUCCUGGUAUUUCAGCAUGUCAUGCACCAUCACAAAGAUGUUUAAUGACUGCAGCUGGGAUCCUUAUCAUACCACAUAUGUGAUGUAUCACACCAAGCACUGGUACUCUGGUACCCACCAGUACAGCAGAAGUGCACAUACAGUGCUCACCAUGGGAUUAUUUGCAAUAGAAGAUAGCAAAAACCAACCUUCUGAACUGAAAGUGGCAUUAAGGACAACAAGGAAACUUCUACCCUUAAAAUUCCAACACGUCUUCCUGUCCACUUGGAAGGAAGUAUUUAAACAGCAAACACUUUGCUCAGGUGAGGCUUUUGUAUCUAUCUCAGUAAAGGUGGUUCCAUCUAACCUCCCCAAAUAAUUUCUUUCUAUUCGUUCUGUGAGCGGUUUGAAGAAACAAGUCGUCUUCAUUUUAUUAUACCUAAUUCCCUAUUCCAAGGCUCCUCUGUGGCUGAAGUCACUAUUUUUUCUGGGUAAAAAACUGCAGUCUCUUCACAGGUGAAUCCAGCUCCUGAGGAGAUGGUACAGUCUGGUUUGCAACUAAUUUAUGCUUAACUCAAAACUACUAUGGGAACCUUCUUAGUCACAAGGUUCAAGGCAGACAACAAUCCAUAACCACUCCAGUUCACAAACAUCGUUGACUUCAGGAGAACCAAAGUAAUGCCAGGAAGGAAUUUGGACCAAUGGUUUAUAAAACUAUUCUUUUACACAGUUGAUUCCGGAAGCUUCACCAGUCGGUAUGGGGACAGUGUGAUGUAAAACCUGAUGAUCCCAUCCAACUGUAGUGAGCAAGGCAUUGUCUGAAGGAGACCACGAUAAACCUUUUACAAAGUCUCGAUGAGAACGGCUUCUGAACACCUCUGAAAGGUCUGAGUUGAGUACAGCUACUGUACAAUCUUCGCUGAUGGAAG
RNAcentral lists this long non-coding RNA (985 nucleotides) under Gallus gallus (chicken). Lineage: Eukaryota; Metazoa; Chordata; Aves; Galliformes; Phasianidae. The record is from RNAcentral.